RNAcentral lists this ribosomal RNA (216 nucleotides) under Glomeromycotina sp. RNAcentral's name for it is "partial small subunit ribosomal RNA". The stretch from base 40 to 216 matches the Rfam family "Eukaryotic small subunit ribosomal RNA", at positions 686 to 864 of the family's 1831-position model. The record is from RNAcentral. Lineage: Eukaryota; Fungi; Glomeromycota.
GGGUCAGUAGGUUGGUCGUGCCACCGGUACGUACUGGUCUCACUGAUUCCUCCUUCCUGAAGAACCGUAAUGCCAUUAAUUUGGUGUCGCGGGGAAACAGGACUGUUACUUUGAAAAAAUUAGAGUGUUUAAAGCAAGCUAACGCUUGAAUACAUUAGCAUGGAAUAAUGAAAUAGGACGAUCGAUCCUGUUUUGUUGGUUUCUAGGAUUGACGUA